RNAcentral lists this ribosomal RNA (432 nucleotides) under uncultured Bacillota bacterium. Its description in RNAcentral is "bacterial SSU rRNA". It matches the Rfam family "Bacterial small subunit ribosomal RNA", at positions 917 to 1359 of the family's 1533-position model. Lineage: Bacteria; Bacillati; Bacillota. The record is from RNAcentral.
GGACCCGCACAAGCAGUGGAGUAUGUGGUUUAAUUCGAAGCAACGCGAAGAACCUUACCAGGACUUGACAUUGAUGGAAUGCCCAGAGAUGGGCAGUGCCUUCGGGAACUUGAAACAGGUGGUGCAUGGUUGUCGUCAGCUCGUGUCGUGAGAUGUUGGGUUAAGUCCCGCAACGAGCGCAACCCUUAUCAUUAGUUGCUACGCAAGAGCACUCUAAUGAGACUGCCGUUGAUAAACGGAGGAAGGUGGGGACGAAGUCAAAUCAUCAUGCCCUUUAUGUCCUGGGCAACACACGUACUACAAUGGCGGUAACAGCGAGAAGCGAAGGAGCGAUCCGGAGCGGACCUCUGAAAAGCCGUCUCAGUUCAGACUGCAGGCUGCAACUCGCCUGCACGAAGAUGGAAUUGCUAGUAAUCGCGAAUCAGCAUGUCG